CGCCGCCGCCGCCGCCGCUCUCCGUCCGACGCCGCUGCUCUCCGUCGACGUGAUACUCUACGCCCCCUGCCCUCGCCGGACCGCCCCUGCCCUCGCCGGAAAGCUCCUGCCGUUGCCGGAAUAAGAGAUUGUAGGAAAUAUAAACAUGAGUUUAGAUAGAGGGUGGAUGUAUAGGCGAUAUGCUCAAGGUAGUCUAACAGGAGAGUUCAUGGAUGGAUUGGAAGUAUUUAUCCAUUAUGCACUUUCUCGACCGGACUUAAUGAUUGGAAAUAAGAUCAAAUGCCCAUGCACGAAAUGUAAGAACAAAAAAUUUGAUACUCCAAUGACUGUUAGGGUUCACUUGGCAAAGAAUGGUUUUAU
This is a long non-coding RNA of Salvia miltiorrhiza (redroot sage), 360 nucleotides long. RefSeq lists it as uncharacterized. The record is from RefSeq and is a predicted model, not a curated record. The transcript has 3 exons. Lineage: Eukaryota; Viridiplantae; Streptophyta; Magnoliopsida; Lamiales; Lamiaceae.